UACGGAGGGUGCGAGCGUUGUCCGGAAUCACUGGGCGUAAAGGGCGCGUAGGUGGCGCGGGCAGUCAACGGUGAAAGUUCGGGGCUCAACCCUGAAUCGGCCGUCGAUACUCCCGUGCUUGAGCACUGUAGAGGCAGAUGGAAUUCCGGGUGUAGCGGUGGAAUGCGUAGAGAUCCGGAAGAACACCGGUGGCGAAGGCGGUCUGCUGGGCAGUAGCUGACACUGAGGCGCGACAGCGUGGGGAGCGAACAGG
RNAcentral lists this ribosomal RNA (253 nucleotides) under uncultured bacterium. RNAcentral describes it as "partial 16S ribosomal RNA". It matches the Rfam family "Bacterial small subunit ribosomal RNA", at positions 524 to 776 of the family's 1533-position model. The record is from RNAcentral.